RNAcentral lists this ribosomal RNA (468 nucleotides) under uncultured bacterium. Its description in RNAcentral is "partial 16S ribosomal RNA". It matches the Rfam family "Bacterial small subunit ribosomal RNA", at positions 28 to 507 of the family's 1533-position model. The record is from RNAcentral.
GAUGAACGCUGGCGGCGUGCUUAACACAUGCAAGUCGAACGGUGAAGGCGGAGCUUGCUCUGCUGGAUCAGUGGCGAACGGGUGAGUAACACGUGAGCAAUCUGCCCCUGACUCUGGGAUAAGCGCUGGAAACGGCGUCUAAUACUGGAUACGAGCUGCGAAGGCAUCUUCAGCAGCUGGAAAGAACUUCGGUCAGGGAUGAGCUCGCGGCCUAUCAGCUUGUUGGUGAGGUAACGACUGCCCAAGGCGUCGACGGGUAGCCGGCCUGAGAGGGUGACCGGCCACAAUGGGACUGAGACAGGGACCAGACUGCUACGGGACGCAGCAGUGGGGAGUAUUGCACAAUGGGCGAAAGCCUGAUACAGCGACGCCGCGUGAGGAAAGACGGGCUUCGGGUUGUAAACCUCUUUUAGCGGAGAAGAAGCGAAAGUGACGGUACCUGCAGAAAAAGCGCCGGCUAACUACGUG